RNAcentral lists this transfer RNA (88 nucleotides) under Salmonella phage FSL SP-107. RNAcentral's name for it is "tRNA-OTHER". The record is from RNAcentral. Lineage: Duplodnaviria; Heunggongvirae; Uroviricota; Caudoviricetes; Andersonviridae.
UCAAAUCCCUUCUGGAACGCCAGUUUUGACAGAAGACCAAUUACAGCAAACUUAAUCUACUCAUCUGAAAGUUAAUCGGACAAAGAAG